RNAcentral lists this unclassified non-coding RNA (184 nucleotides) under uncultured Atheliales. Its description in RNAcentral is "sequence contains ITS1". The record is from RNAcentral. Lineage: Eukaryota; Fungi; Basidiomycota; Agaricomycetes; Atheliales.
AAGAAACACCAAGGCGAAGGUUGUCGCUGGCCCGUCAAAGGGCAUGUGCACGCCCGAGCCGUUUCAUCCACACACCCCUGUGAACCUGUAGUGGGCCUUUGGGAAACCGGAGGCUCAUGUCUUUUUACCAACCACGUAUGUCUCAGAAUGUAUCGUAAAGCCUCUUUGAGGUAUAAAUUGCAUA